GGCUGAGUAACACGUGGGCAACCUGCCCUUUGCACUGGGAUAGCCUCGGGAAACCGAGGUUAAUACCGGAUACUCCAUAUUUGUCGCAUGGCGAAUAUGGGAAAAGCUCCGGCGGCAAAGGAUGGGCCCGCGGCCUGUUAGCUAGUUGGUGGGGUAGUGGCCUACCAAGGCAAUGAUGGGUAGCCGGGUUGAGAGACCGACCGGCCAGAUUGGGACUGAGACACGGCCCAGACUCCUACGGGAGGCAGCAGUA
Molecule: ribosomal RNA, 253 nt
Filed under: uncultured Atopobium sp.
Lineage: Bacteria; Bacillati; Actinomycetota; Coriobacteriia; Coriobacteriales; Atopobiaceae
Description: partial 16S ribosomal RNA
Rfam family: Bacterial small subunit ribosomal RNA
Source: RNAcentral